GACCCUUCGGGGUUAGCGGCGGACGGGUGAGUAACACGUGGGCAAUCUGCCCACCAGACUGGAAUAACACUCGGAAACGAGUGCUAAUGCCGGAUAACACUUCGGAAGGCAUCUUCUGAAGUUGAAAGAUGCAACUGCAUCACUGGUGGAGGAGCCCGCGGCGCAUUAGCUAGUUGGUGAGGUAACGGCCCACCAAGGCGACGAUGCGUAGCCGACCUGAGAGGGUGACCGGCCACACUGGGACUGAGACACGGCCCAGACUCCUACGGGAGGCAGCAGUAGGGAAUCUUCCGCAAUGGGCGCAAGCCUGACGGAGCAACGCCGCGUGAGCGAAGAAGGCCUUCGGGUUGUAAAGCUCUGUUGCUCGGGGAGAGUGACAAGGAGAGUGGAAAACUCCUUGAGAGACGGUACCGAGUGAGGAAGCCCCGGCUAACUACGUGCCAGCAGCCGCGGUAAUACGUAGGGGGCAAGCGUUGUCCGGAAUCACUGGGCGUAAAGCGUGCGUAGGCGGUUCUGCAAGUCCGGGGUGAAAGGCCAUGGCUCAACCAUGGA
Molecule: ribosomal RNA, 552 nt
Filed under: uncultured bacterium
Lineage: Bacteria
Description: bacterial SSU rRNA
Rfam family: Bacterial small subunit ribosomal RNA
Source: RNAcentral